This 468-nucleotide ribosomal RNA is filed under the name uncultured bacterium. RNAcentral's name for it is "partial 16S ribosomal RNA". It matches the Rfam family "Bacterial small subunit ribosomal RNA", at positions 28 to 507 of the family's 1533-position model. The record is from RNAcentral.
GACGAACGCUGGCGGCGUGCCUAACACAUGCAAGUCGAACGGAAAGGCCCUGCUCUUGUGGGGUGCUCGAGUGGCGAACGGGUGAGUAACACGUGAGUAACCUGCCCUUGACUUUGGGAUAACUUCAGGAAACUGGGGCUAAUAUCGGAUAGGAGCUCCUGCUGCAUGGUGGGGGUUGGAAAGUUUCGGCGGUGGGGGAUGGACUCGCGGCUAAUCAGCUUGUUGGUGGGGUAGUGGCUUACCAAGGCUUUGACGGGUCGCCGGCCUGGGAGGGUGACCGGCCACAUUGGGACUGAGGUAGGGCCCAGACUCCUACGGGGGGCAGCAGUGGGGAAUAUUGCACAAUGGGCGGAAGCCGGAUGCAGCGACGCCGCGUGCGGGAUGACGGCCUUCGGGUUGUAAACCGCUUUCGCCUGUGACGAAGCGUGAGUGACGGUAAUGGGUAAAGAAGCACCGGCUAACUACGUG